CGUGAGGGAAAGGUGAAAAGAACCCCGGGAGGGGAGUGAAAUAGAACCUGAAACCUUAUGCCUACAAGCAGAUAGAGUCUUAAGAGAGAUGAUAUCGUACUUUUUGUAGAACGGGCCAGCGAGUUAUGGUGUGCGGCAAGGUUAAGUAAUGAAGUUACGGAGCCGUAGGGAAACCGAGUCUGAAUAGGGCGAAAAGUCGUAUGCCAUAGACCCGAAACCAGGUGAUCUAUCCAUGAGCAGGUUGAAGUGAAAGUAAAAUUUCAUGGAGGACCGAACCGGGUAGCGUUUAAAAGCUAUCGGAUGACUUGUGGAUAGGGGUGAAAAGCCAAUCGAACUUGGAGAUAGCUGGUUCUCCUCGAAAUAGCUUUAGGGCUAGCCUCAAUUUAGUUUACAGGGGGUAGAGCACUGAAUACCGUAGGGGUGUUAGACAUUACCGAAAGUUAUCAAACUGCGAAUACCUGAUAAAUGAUGAUUGGGAGUCAGACUAUGUGGGAUAAGCUUCAUAGUCGAAAGGGAAAGAGCCCAGACCACCAGCUAAGGUCCCUAAAUAUAGAUUAAGUGGAAAAGGAUGUUUUACUACUCAGACAACCAGGAUGUUGGCUUAGAAGCAGCCAUACAUUUAAAGAGUGCGUAAUAGCUCACUGGUCAAGUGGUAGAGCGCCGAAAAUGAACGGGGCUAAAAUCUAAUACCGAAGCUGUGGACUAAUUAAAUUAGUGGUAGAGGAGCAUUGUGUAAGGGGUGAAGCUAAGUUGGAAGACGAAGUGGACUUUACAGAAGAGAGAAUGCUGGCAUGAGUAGCGAAAAGGAGGGUGAGAAUCCCUCCCGUCGAAAGCCUAAGGAUUCCUGAGGAAGGCUCGUCCUCUCAGGGUAAGUCGGGACCUAAGCCCAGGCUGAAAAGCGUAAGCGAUGGACAACAGGUUGAGAUUCCUGUACUAUCUUUGAAUGUUUAAGAGAUGUACUGACGCAGGAGGAUAUGUUGAGCGUGUGAAUGGUAGAGCACGUCUAAGCAAGUAGGUAGAGAAUAGAGGCAAAUCCCUAUUCUUAAUAUCGAGAUGUGAUGGGGAGCGAAAAACAAGUAGUGAAGCAACAAAUUCCAAACUGCCAAGAAAAGGUACUAUUGAGUGAGAAGAUACCCGUACCAAAACCGACACAGGUAGGCAAGGAGAGAAUCCUAAGACGCGCGGAAGAACCUUUGUUAAGGAACUCGGCAAAAUGACCCCGUAACUUCGGGAGAAGGGGUACCAUUAGAUGUGAUAUACAUACGUAUGGAGCAUAGAGUGGUCGCAGAGAAUAGGCCCAAGCAACUGUUUACCAAAAACACAAGUCUCUGCUAAAUCGAAAGAUGAAGUAUAGGGGCUGACACCUGCCCGGUGCUGGAAGGUUAAGGGGAAAUGUUAGAGCAAUCGAAGCAUAGAACUUAAGCCCCAGUAAACGGCGGCCGUAACUAUAACGGUCCUAAGGUAGCGAAAUUCCUUGUCGGGUAAGUUCCGACCCGCACGAAAGGUGUAAUGAUUUGGGCACUGUCUCAACAAAGGAUCCGGUGAAAUUGUAGUAGUCGUGAAGAUGCGACUUACCCACGAUAGGACGGAAAGACCCCGUGGAGCUUUACUGUAGGCUGGCAUUGGAAUUUGGUAUUAAAUGUACAGGAUAGGUGGGAGACUAAGAAGCGAGAGCGCCAGUUUUCGUGGAGUCAAUGUUGGGAUACCACUCUUUUGAUACUAAAUUUCUAACUUGAUACUCUGAAGCGAGUAUAAGGACACUGUCAGUUGGGCAGUUUGACUGGGGCGGUCGCCUCCUAAAGAGUAACGGAGGCGUUCAAAGGUUCCCUCAGAAUGGAUGGAAAUCAUUCUAAGAGUGCAAAGGCAAAAGGGAGCUUAACUGCGACACCAACAAGUGGAGCAGAUAGGAAACUAGGACUUAGUGAUCCGGUGGUACCGAGUGGAAGGGCCAUCGCUCAACGGAUAAAAGCUACCCCGGGGAUAACAGGCU
Molecule: ribosomal RNA, 1990 nt
Filed under: human oral metagenome
Description: bacterial LSU rRNA
Rfam family: Bacterial large subunit ribosomal RNA
Source: RNAcentral